This 31-nucleotide non-coding RNA is filed under the name Mus musculus (house mouse). Lineage: Eukaryota; Metazoa; Chordata; Mammalia; Rodentia; Muridae. The record is from RNAcentral.
UGUAUAAGAAUUAUUUAGAGACCAGUUCCAC